Long non-coding RNA from Eurytemora carolleeae, 629 nucleotides. RefSeq lists it as uncharacterized. The record is from RefSeq and is a predicted model, not a curated record. Lineage: Eukaryota; Metazoa; Arthropoda; Copepoda; Calanoida; Temoridae. The transcript is spliced from 6 exons.
UGUUUUUAUGUUUUUGUUUAGAUUGAUAAAUGGUGCAAGUCUGGGAAUCUGAAGUGCAAAGGACCAGCCCGAUGGGUCAAACCAUUCAGAUGUAUAGAAUCUCCUCCAACGAAACCUACAGCUUCCACCACACCUUCGACUGUAAAGACUGCUGACGAUGAAUAUUAUGAUGAUGAUUAUCUGGAGGAGGAAGAUGAUGAGUACUAUGACGAUGAUGACGAUGAUGACGAAUAUGAUAAUGAUGAUGAUGAUGGUGAUGAUGUGAAUACUGAUGAACUAUUAAACGAAAUAGAGACUGAGGAGAAGAAUAAAAAGGCGGAAAAACUAAAAUUUGAUAGUGUUGAUCCUUACUUCACCCACUACUCCCCUAGUGAGGAGCACAAAGAGUUCAGCAGAGCCUUAGAGAGGCUCGAUGGGAAGCACAGGGAAAGGAUGACCAAGGUGAUGAAAGAGUGGAGUAGGAUGGAGGAUAAGUACAGUAGCCUGGCUAAAACCAGCAAAGAAGACGCUGAAACUCUAAACCACGAGAUGACAAAACAGUUUGAGGACCGGAUAGAAGGACUAGAGAAGGAUCAUGAAGGGGAAAAAGAUCAGAUAAUCUCUAUGCAUCAGCAGAGGGUUGUUUCAAG